CCGCUGUCACGUGCGCUCGUAUUUUGCCCCGCCACUCCGGUCUCUCUCUGACAACCCCCGGCGCAAGUCAAUGGGGGGAAGUGUGGCCGGUUAACUAUUGUCAUUCCACCUUGUAGGGUUGGUCGUGCAUAUUUGCGCUAUGUAUGUAGUGACCCCUCUCAUUUAAUUAAAAUGAUUCUUUUUAAAUCUCCAACCUUGCUUCGGCAUUGUUGGGGAUUUGGUACUAUUCAGAUAAAUUAGAGGGUUCACAUAAUAGCGAAAAUGCGCACAAAGGCGCCGAG
RNAcentral lists this ribosomal RNA (281 nucleotides) under Plasmodium coatneyi. RNAcentral describes it as "partial 18S ribosomal RNA". Lineage: Eukaryota; Apicomplexa; Aconoidasida; Haemosporida; Plasmodiidae. The record is from RNAcentral.